Molecule: ribosomal RNA, 434 nt
Filed under: uncultured Oscillospiraceae bacterium
Lineage: Bacteria; Bacillati; Bacillota; Clostridia; Eubacteriales; Oscillospiraceae
Description: bacterial SSU rRNA
Rfam family: Bacterial small subunit ribosomal RNA
Source: RNAcentral
ACGGAAGGCAGCAGUGGGGAAUAUUGGGCAAUGGGCGCAAGCCUGACCCAGCAACGCCGCGUGAAGGAUGAAGGUUUUCGGAUUGUAAACUUCUUUGACUGAGGACGAUAAUGACGGUACUCAGAAAACAAGCCACGGCUAACUACGUGCCAGCAGCCGCGGUAAUACGUAGGUGGCGAGCGUUGUCCGGAUUUACUGGGUGUAAAGGGCGUGUAGGCGGGGGAGCAAGUCAGAUGUGAAAUACCGUGGCUUAACCACGGAGCUGCAUUUGAAACUGUUCUUCUUGAGUGAUGGAGAGGUAAGCGGAAUUCCUAGUGUAGCGGUAAAAUGCGUAGAUAUUAGGAGGAACACCGGUGGCGAAGGCGGCUUACUGGACAUUAACUGACGCUGAGGCGCGAAAGCGUGGGGAGCAAACAGGAUUAGAUACCCUGGUA